CUCAUGGUUUCACGGUAUUGCAAUGAGAACAAUUUAAAACCCUUAGCGAGAAUCAAGUGGAGGACAAGUCUGGUGCCAGCACCCGCGGUAAUUCCAGCUCCACUAGCGUAUAUUAAAGUUGUUGCAGUUAAAAAGCUCGUAGUUGAACCUCUGUCUGGGGCUAGUUUUGGCUUUGGUCAGGCUAGUUCUAGGCAUCCGCCUACAAGACUUAGAGGGCAUUCAGUUGUUCACUAGGAGGAGUAGGCAUUUUACUUUGAAAAAAUUAGAGUGUUAAGGCAGGCAAUCGCCCGCAUAUAUUAGCAUGGAAUAAUAGAAUAGGACACUUUUCCAUCUCGUUGGUUAUUGGAAUCGUGUAAUGAUUAAUAGGGACAGUUGUGGGCAUUUGUAUUUAAUUGUCAGAGGUGAAAUUCUUGGAUUUAUUAAAGACAAACUAACGCGAAAGCAUUUGCCAAGGAUGUUUUCAUUAAUCAAGAACGAAUGUUAGGGGAUCAAAGACGAUCAGAUACCGUCCUAGUCUUAACUAUAAACUAUUCCGACUCAAUGUUUGACUGGCUUAUACAACCAGUUGAGCGUUGUAUGAGAAAUCAAAGUCUUUAGGUUCUGGGGGGAGUAUGGUUGCAAAGCUGAAACUUAAAGGAAUUGACGGAAGAGCACAACCAGGAGUGGAUUCUGCGGCUUAAUUUGACUCAACACGGGGAAACUUACCAGGUUAAAACAAUAGUGGGAUUGACAGUUUGAGAGCGCUUUCUUGAUUGGUUGGGUGGUGGUGCAUGGCCGUUCUUAGUUGGUGGAGUGAUUUGUCUGCUUAAUUGCGUUAACGAACGAGACCUUAACCUGCUUACUAGACUGGCGAUCAUCAAUCGUUAGCUCUUCUUAGAGGGACUUUGGUUGUUUUAACUCCAAGGAAGUUUGAGGCAAUAACAGGUCUGUGAUGCCCUUAGAUAUCCUGGGCCGCACGCGUCAUACAAUGCUAGUUCAGAAAGUUUUCUCCUGACCCGAAAGGGGAUGGGUAAUCUUGAUAAUACUAGUCGUGUUAGGGAUCGAUCUUUGCAAUUAUAGAUCUUGAACGAGGAAUUCCUAGUAAGUGCGGUUCAUCAGACCGUACUGAUUACGUCCCUGCUCUUUGUACACACCGCCCGUCGCUUCUACCGAGUGGGUGGUCCGGUGAGAUAAUUGAACUUCGCAGGUAACUGAGAGGAAAGAUUAUCAAACCUAUCCACCU
RNAcentral lists this ribosomal RNA (1222 nucleotides) under metagenome. Its description in RNAcentral is "SSU rRNA". It matches the Rfam family "Eukaryotic small subunit ribosomal RNA", at positions 493 to 1774 of the family's 1831-position model. The record is from RNAcentral.